CGCUUACAGUGUCGUGUUUCGUGACAUUUUAAAUAGAAAAAUAUCACAUAUUGAUGAAAGUGUCAUAAAAAGGGCUAAAGUUUUAUUAUUGCAUUGUGAAUAAUAUUGCUUGCCGCUACCUGCGUAGUUGGUAGUAGAUGUUUAAUAAAAAACUAUGUAAUUGUUUUAUUAUAAAUCCUAAGAUAUUAUCAGAAUGCUAAAAUGUCCCUACCAUAAGUAUAUUUUAAUUGAAAAAAUGGCAGCAUUUCGUCCCCAAAUACAAUUCCUUCUCAGCUAUUAUUGUUGUAUAUAUAAAUUUUUUAUAAUACAAGAAAUAUUUGAUAAUUGCACAAAAAUCGGAGCGCAAAUGUUGCAAUACUGGAGAUGUAGAAACGAUUCUAUUUUUCGAAACUAAGAUUUUACAUGUGUCGAAUGUAGGGAAGGACAAUGUGAAUGAAAGAGAAAGAGGAACUGAGAAUCGAAGCGAUCAAUAAAUAUUAAAAGGCUGCGAUAAGCUGAGACCUCGAACUUAAAAAUCAAACUUUCUUAUUUUUUAUUUGCGACCAAUGAAACUUUUACCAACAUGUUUCUUACAUUUUUCGGAUUAAAAUGACACCAAACACGAUGUAUUUUGGCGCAUAUUUCUAUACUCGUUUUAAUCGGAAACAUCUCACAAACACAUACAUUGCCUCGUGGAUAUCUGACAUUGGAUCAUGUUACACUACUCGAGGGUCAACAGACUGUCGAGCCUUUCAGUCCGUCAAGGGAACCUUCUCUCCGUCGUGGAGAUGACGAGUGUGCAACGAAGACUACUUUUUAGUUGUUAAAUAGCUUUUUGGAAAAACUAAUAAACAUUUGGAUAUAAAAUUUUGCAUACUCUUA
This is a long non-coding RNA of Bombus impatiens (common eastern bumble bee), 861 nucleotides long. RefSeq lists it as uncharacterized. The transcript has 2 exons. The record is from RefSeq and is a predicted model, not a curated record. Lineage: Eukaryota; Metazoa; Arthropoda; Insecta; Hymenoptera; Apidae.